GCCUUAACUCUUAGCCCAAAUCAACACAAUCAACCUAUGUAUUUCAACAAACUAAAACAUUUUAACAUCAACCCCUAGUAUUUGAGACAGAAAGGAAUAACCGGAGCUUUAGAUAAAGUACUGUGAAGGAACAAAUGAAAGAUUUCCCCAAGCACGAAAAAGCCAAGUUUAAAUCUUGUACCUUUUGCAUAAAUGGUUUAGCUAGAAAAUCUAUACACAAAGAUUUGUAAUAUAAAACCCCGAAACUAAAUGAGCUACUAUAGGACAAUUUAUCAGAAUGCACCCGUCUAUGUCGCAAAAUAGUGGGACGAUUUUAUAGUAGAGGUGAAAAAUCAACCGGAUUUAGUGAUAGCUGGUUAACCAAGAAAUGAAUUUAAGUUCAACAGUAAGUUUAUUUCCCUAGCACCCUAUAUGACUCAUAAACUUACUAGCUACUUAUAAGAGGGUCAGCCCUUAUAAGUAAGGAAACAACCUCCAAUAGAGGGAAACUCUUACCACGUACAUAGUAGGCUUAAAAGCAGACACCUAUUAAGAAAGCGUUAAAGCUCAAACCCAACCCUUUUCUCUAAUUCCACAAUAUCUCAACUACCCCUAAAUCAAUAUUGGUUUAUUCUAUAUCUUUAUAGAAGAAAUAAUGCUAAAAUAAGUAACCAGAAUUUAUUCUCCUUGCACUAGCUUAAGUUAGAACGGAACAACCACUAACAAUUAACAGUUAAAUAAUUAAAACUAUAAACAAGAGCCAUUAUUUUUCUUGACUGUUAACCCGACACAGGCGUGCACUAAAGGAAAGAUAAAAAAGAGUAAAAGGAACUCGGCAAAUUAGGAUUUCGCCUGUUUACCAAAAACAUCGCCUCUAGCAUAACAAGUAUUAGAGGUCCUGCCUGCCCAGUGAUAUUAUUAAACGGCCGCGGUAUCCUGACCGUGCAAAGGUAGCAUAAUCACUUGUCUCCUAAUUAGAGACUAGCAUGAACGGCUAAACGAAAAUCCAACUGUCUCUUACUCUCAAUCAGUGAAAUUGCCCUCCCCGUGCAGAGACGGGGAUAAGAACAUAAGACGAGAAGACCCUGUGGAGCUUUAAUUAAAGAGUAACUUCUUCGAACAUUCAACUUAAGGGUGUAGCAUCUAAAAAUUUUACUCAACUAGUUUCGGUUGGGGUGACCUCGGAGAACAGUUAAACCUCCGAAUGAACAGUAAAGACCUACAAGUCUAAACGCAAUACUGCCAGUAAUAGACCCAUAUUAUUGAUCAAAGGACCAAGUUACCCCAGGGAUAACAGCGCAAUCCCAUUCUAGAGUUCAUAUCGACAAUGGGGUUUACGACCUCGAUGUUGGAUCAGGACAUCCAAAUGGUGCAGCAGCUAUUAAUGGUUCGUUUGUUCAACGAUUAAAGUCCUACGUGAUCUGAGUUCAGACCGGAGCAAUCCAGGUCGGUUUCUAUCUAUGAGUUAUUUCUCCCAGUACGAAAGGACCAGAGAAAUCAGGCCAAUCUCACAAAGAAGCCUUCUAUCUAACAAAUGAUAUCAUCUUAAUUUGUUCACACCACUCUCUACAAUCCUAGACAAGGAGCC
This 1567-nucleotide ribosomal RNA is filed under the name Tachyglossus aculeatus (Australian echidna). Its description in RNAcentral is "16S ribosomal RNA". It matches the Rfam family "Bacterial large subunit ribosomal RNA", at positions 440 to 2837 of the family's 2925-position model. Lineage: Eukaryota; Metazoa; Chordata; Mammalia; Monotremata; Tachyglossidae. The record is from RNAcentral.